RNAcentral lists this transfer RNA (84 nucleotides) under Bacteroidales bacterium. RNAcentral's name for it is "tRNA-Leu". It matches the Rfam family "tRNA". Rfam says of the family: Transfer RNA (tRNA) molecules are approximately 80 nucleotides in length. Their secondary structure includes four short double-helical elements and three loops (D, anti-codon, and T loops). The record is from RNAcentral. Lineage: Bacteria; Pseudomonadati; Bacteroidota; Bacteroidia; Bacteroidales. RNAcentral also lists the same sequence under 1 other name.
GCCCUGGUGGUGGAAUUGGUAGACACGCAGGACUUAAAAUCCUAUGGCCGCAAGGCCGUGGGGGUUCAAGUCCCCCCCGGGGUA